UGGGGAAUAUUGGACAAUGGGCGAAAGCCUGAUCCAGCCAUGCCGCGUGUGUGAAGAAGGUCUUCGGAUUGUAAAGCACUUUAAGUUGGGAGGAAGGGCAGUAAAUUAAUACUUUGCUGUUUUGACGUUACCGACAGAAUAAGCACCGGCUAACUCUGUGCCAGCAGCCGCGGUAAUACAGAGGGUGCAAGCGUUAAUCGGAAUUACUGGGCGUAAAGCGCGCGUAGGUGGUUCGUUAAGUUGGAUGUGAAAUCCCCGGGCUCAACCUGGGAACUGCAUUCAAAACUGACGAGCUAGAGUAUGGUAGAGGGUGGUGGAAUUUCCUGUGUAGCGGUGAAAUGCGUAGAUAUAGGAAGGAACACCAGUGGCGAAGGCGACCACCUGGACUGAUACUGACACUGAGGUGCGAAAGCGUGGGGAGCAAACAGGAUUAGAUACCCCGGUAGUCCCUGAGCGGGCUGGCAAGGCGCAU
This 472-nucleotide ribosomal RNA is filed under the name uncultured bacterium. RNAcentral's name for it is "bacterial SSU rRNA". It matches the Rfam family "Bacterial small subunit ribosomal RNA", at positions 355 to 825 of the family's 1533-position model. The record is from RNAcentral.